AAACCAUCACCCUUUUGGUGAAGAGGCAGGGUGGUGUAAUUGUCUCUGAUAUGUCCUCCAUCGAAGGUCUAUAUUGAGCAGAUUCUUUUUGGUGUUGGGUGGUGGAACCGGAGCGUGCUCCAUCCACUCCAUGCAUUGACCUGGUAUUGCAGUGCUUCCAGGACUGGUGCAAAAAAA
This 177-nucleotide small nuclear RNA is filed under the name Crocodylus porosus (Australian saltwater crocodile). Its description in RNAcentral is "U2 spliceosomal RNA (ENSCPRG00005015773.1)". It matches the Rfam family "U2 spliceosomal RNA". Rfam says of the family: U2 is a small nuclear RNA (snRNA) component of the spliceosome (involved in pre-mRNA splicing). Complementary binding between U2 snRNA (in an area lying towards the 5' end but 3' to hairpin I) and the branchpoint sequence (BPS) of the intron results the bulging out of an unpaired adenosine, on the BPS, which initiates a nucleophilic attack at the intronic 5' splice site, thus starting the first of two transesterification reactions that mediate splicing. Lineage: Eukaryota; Metazoa; Chordata; Crocodylia; Crocodylidae. The record is from Rfam by way of RNAcentral.